CAGGGAUUGCCUCAGUAACGGCGAGUGAAGCGGCAACAGCUCAAAUUUGAAAUCUGACCCCCCCGGGGCCCGAGUUGUAAUUUGUAGAGGGUGCUUCGGGCGCGGCGCCGGUCUAAGUUUCUUGGAACAGAACGUCGCAGAGGGUGAGAAUCCCGUACGUGACCGGUGACCAAGCCCGUGUGAAGCCCCUUCGACGAGUCGAGUUGUUUGGGAAUGCAGCUCAAAAUGGGUGGUAAAUUCCAUCUAAAGCUAAAUAUUGGCCAGAGACCGAUAGCGGACAAGUAGAGUGAUCGAAAGAUGAAAAGCACUUUGGAAAGAGAGUUAAACAGUACGUGAAAUUGUUGAAAGGGAAGCGCUUGCGACCAGACCGGUCCGGGGGCGAUCAGCCGCGGCUCGUCCGCGGUGCACUCGCCUCCGAUCCGGCCAGCAUCGGUUCGGGCGGCGGGAUAAAAGUCCCGGGAAUGUAGCUUCCCUCGGGGAGUCUUAUAGCCCGGGUCGCAAUGCCGCCCGCCUGGACCGAGGACCGCGCUUCGGCUAGGAUGCUGGCGUAAUGGUCGCAAGCGACCCGUCUUGAAACACGGACCAAGGAGUCUAACAUCUAUGCGAGUGUUUGGGUGUCAAACCCAGGCGCGGAAUGAAAGUGAACGGAGGUGGGAACCCGUCAGACGGCGCACCAUCGACCGAUCCUGAUGUCUUCGGAUGGAUUUGAGUAUGAGCAUAGCUGUUGGGACCCGAAAGAUGGUGAACUAUGCCCGGAUAGGGUGAAGCCAGAGGAAACUCUGGUGGAGGCUCGCAGCGGUUCUGACGUGCAAAUCGAUCGUCAAAUCUAGGCAUAGGGGCGAAAGACCAAUCGAACCAUCUAG
RNAcentral lists this ribosomal RNA (863 nucleotides) under Ricasolia amplissima. Its description in RNAcentral is "LSU rRNA". It matches the Rfam family "Eukaryotic large subunit ribosomal RNA", at positions 69 to 947 of the family's 3401-position model. The record is from RNAcentral. Lineage: Eukaryota; Fungi; Ascomycota; Lecanoromycetes; Peltigerales; Lobariaceae.